RNAcentral lists this non-coding RNA (30 nucleotides) under Rattus norvegicus (Norway rat). Lineage: Eukaryota; Metazoa; Chordata; Mammalia; Rodentia; Muridae. The record is from RNAcentral.
UGAUUGUCAAUAGAUACCAGUGUUUGCUUU